This 440-nucleotide ribosomal RNA is filed under the name uncultured bacterium. Its description in RNAcentral is "partial 16S ribosomal RNA". It matches the Rfam family "Bacterial small subunit ribosomal RNA", at positions 338 to 795 of the family's 1533-position model. The record is from RNAcentral.
CCUACGGGUGGCAGCAGUGGGGAAUAUUGCACAAUGGGGGCAACCCUGAUGCAGCGACGCCGCGUGAGUGAUGAAGUAUUUCGGUAUGUAAAGCUCUAUCAGCAGGGAAGAAAAUUACGGUACCUGACUCAUAAGCCCCGGCUAACUACGUGCCAGCAGCCGCGGUAAUACGUAGGGGGCCAGCGUUAUCCGGAUUUACUGGGUGUAAAGGGAGCGUAGACGGCUAAUCAAGUCAGAAGUGAAAACCCAGGGCUCAACCUUGUGAUUGAUUUUGAAAGUGAGUAGCUAGAGUGCAGGUGAGGUAAGCGGAAUUCCUAGUGUAGCGGUGAAAUGCGUAGAUAUUAGGAGGAACACCAGUGGCGAAGGCGGCUUACUGGACUGUAACUGACGUUGAGGCUCGAAAGCGUGGGGAGCAAACAGGAUUAGAUACCCCAGUAGUC